Molecule: ribosomal RNA, 1520 nt
Filed under: Klebsiella pneumoniae
Lineage: Bacteria; Pseudomonadati; Pseudomonadota; Gammaproteobacteria; Enterobacterales; Enterobacteriaceae
Also listed under: 4 other names
Description: bacterial SSU rRNA
Rfam family: Bacterial small subunit ribosomal RNA
Source: RNAcentral
AGAGUUUGAUCAUGGCUCAGAUUGAACGCUGGCGGCAGGCCUAACACAUGCAAGUCGAGCGGUAGCACAGAGAGCUUGCUCUCGGGUGACGAGCGGCGGACGGGUGAGUAAUGUCUGGGAAACUGCCUGAUGGAGGGGGAUAACUACUGGAAACGGUAGCUAAUACCGCAUAACGUCGCAAGACCAAAGUGGGGGACCUUCGGGCCUCAUGCCAUCAGAUGUGCCCAGAUGGGAUUAGCUAGUAGGUGGGGUAACGGCUCACCUAGGCGACGAUCCCUAGCUGGUCUGAGAGGAUGACCAGCCACACUGGAACUGAGACACGGUCCAGACUCCUACGGGAGGCAGCAGUGGGGAAUAUUGCACAAUGGGCGCAAGCCUGAUGCAGCCAUGCCGCGUGUGUGAAGAAGGCCUUCGGGUUGUAAAGCACUUUCAGCGGGGAGGAAGGCGAUAAGGUUAAUAACCUUGUCGAUUGACGUUACCCGCAGAAGAAGCACCGGCUAACUCCGUGCCAGCAGCCGCGGUAAUACGGAGGGUGCAAGCGUUAAUCGGAAUUACUGGGCGUAAAGCGCACGCAGGCGGUCUGUCAAGUCGGAUGUGAAAUCCCCGGGCUCAACCUGGGAACUGCAUUCGAAACUGGCAGGCUAGAGUCUUGUAGAGGGGGGUAGAAUUCCAGGUGUAGCGGUGAAAUGCGUAGAGAUCUGGAGGAAUACCGGUGGCGAAGGCGGCCCCCUGGACAAAGACUGACGCUCAGGUGCGAAAGCGUGGGGAGCAAACAGGAUUAGAUACCCUGGUAGUCCACGCCGUAAACGAUGUCGAUUUGGAGGUUGUGCCCUUGAGGCGUGGCUUCCGGAGCUAACGCGUUAAAUCGACCGCCUGGGGAGUACGGCCGCAAGGUUAAAACUCAAAUGAAUUGACGGGGGCCCGCACAAGCGGUGGAGCAUGUGGUUUAAUUCGAUGCAACGCGAAGAACCUUACCUGGUCUUGACAUCCACAGAACUUAGCAGAGAUGCUUUGGUGCCUUCGGGAACUGUGAGACAGGUGCUGCAUGGCUGUCGUCAGCUCGUGUUGUGAAAUGUUGGGUUAAGUCCCGCAACGAGCGCAACCCUUAUCCUUUGUUGCCAGCGGUUCGGCCGGGAACUCAAAGGAGACUGCCAGUGAUAAACUGGAGGAAGGUGGGGAUGACGUCAAGUCAUCAUGGCCCUUACGACCAGGGCUACACACGUGCUACAAUGGCAUAUACAAAGAGAAGCGACCUCGCGAGAGCAAGCGGACCUCAUAAAGUAUGUCGUAGUCCGGAUUGGAGUCUGCAACUCGACUCCAUGAAGUCGGAAUCGCUAGUAAUCGUAGAUCAGAAUGCUACGGUGAAUACGUUCCCGGGCCUUGUACACACCGCCCGUCACACCAUGGGAGUGGGUUGCAAAAGAAGUAGGUAGCUUAACCUUCGGGAGGGCGCUUACCACUUUGUGAUUCAUGACUGGGGUGAAGUCGUAACAAGGUAACCGUAGGGGAACCUGCGGUUG